Molecule: unclassified non-coding RNA, 390 nt
Filed under: Hevea brasiliensis (rubber tree)
Lineage: Eukaryota; Viridiplantae; Streptophyta; Magnoliopsida; Malpighiales; Euphorbiaceae
Source: RNAcentral
UGGCACUCCUCCACAAGUUAAUGUUUCAUUCCUUAAAAUUAUAUUAUCUCACAUGCCAAAGUAUAUCCUUUAGGAAAUAUAUCAAAGGAAUUAUUCAGGUUGUACUUGUCAACUACAUUUUAAAAUUCAUUGUGCUACAUCUAUUGGCUGGUCUUAAUUAGCAUUACAAUUGUAAAAUCUAUCAAUUAAAGCUAAAAUGUUUUAGCCAAUUGCUUGUGAACUCUGAAAAUUAGUCCUAGUAACAUCUUUAUGUCAGUCCAUUAUGACAAUUUAACUAUAAAUAUUUGGCAACUUCUUAAGGAUGGUUCCAAUUUCUCAUUUUCAUAUAGUUUCCAAUGUUUUACUCUCUGUCAUUUCCUAACCUAAAAAAGAGGGGCAAAAAAAAAAAAA